UACGAAGGGUGCAAGCGUUACUCGGAAUUACUGGGCGUAAAGGGUGCGUAGGUGGUUCUUUAAGUCUGCUGUGAAAGCCCCGGGCUCAACCUGGGAAAUGGCAGUGGGUAUACGUGGAGAGCUAGAGUGCGGUAGAGGGUAGUGGAAUUCCCGGUGUAGCAGUGAAAUGCGUAGAGAUCGGGAGGAACACCAGUGGCGAAGGCGGCUACCUGGACCAGCACUGACACUGAAGCACGAAAGCGUGGGGAGCAAACAGG
Molecule: ribosomal RNA, 257 nt
Filed under: uncultured bacterium
Lineage: Bacteria
Description: partial 16S ribosomal RNA
Rfam family: Bacterial small subunit ribosomal RNA
Source: RNAcentral